This 35172-nucleotide long non-coding RNA is filed under the name Triticum aestivum (bread wheat). Its description in RNAcentral is "long non-coding RNA (TAES_LNC001180)". The record is from RNAcentral. Lineage: Eukaryota; Viridiplantae; Streptophyta; Magnoliopsida; Poales; Poaceae.
UUGCCCAAGGUGCCAAUAAAAAUCGAUCUUGACUUGGAAUAGCUUCUCCGCAUCGCUCUUAGUCAGAGCAUGUUCAGCGACCUCAGGUUGAAUCAGAGUAACUUCAGCGGCCUCAGGUUGCAUCCUAGGCUGCGGCGCCUCGGCCGACCUCAUCCUCUUGUGCUCGACAGGUUCUGCAUCCACGGCCUUCCUCUUGGGUUGGGACCUGGGCGGCGACUCGGAAUCUGGGACCGUGUCGCCUUGCAGUGGCGGCUGGUGGAUGUUAUUGUCGUCCGGCACCACAUUGUCCCCCGCCCCCUCCUCCUCCUCCUCCUUCUCCUCCGAUUCUUCAUUGCCCCCAGUCUCCUCCUCCGAUUCUUCUCUUAGAGGCUGCUUCUCCACAACUUGGUGGUCAGAACCGUCGGAGGAGGCGUCUUCCUCGGAUGAGCCGUAGGAGGAUUGCGGGGAGGCCAUGAAGCAACCAACGGUGGUUAGGGUACGUCUUUCGGAAUCUAUAUCCGUCUUGACAGACGGCUUUGUUUUCCUUAUUUUAUUUAGGAAAAAGUCCAAAACGAACCUUGAAUUGGUAGAUGAAAGAUAAAUCGAACCCUGAACUUUGAAUCCCGAAAAUUGGCACUCCGAACUUAUCAAUCCCGGUCUACUUUGGACCCUAGACCUAUUUGGGGCACUGGAAAUAUAUCAAUCCCGUCCGGAUAAGGUACUACUCUCAUUUAUGACUAUUUGGGCCGGCUCACAACUUGCAUUUUCGAAAAUGAAAAAAUGUUCGUGUUUUAAAAUUGUGUAUUUUUUUAAAUGUUCGUCCUUUCAAUCAUAAAAAAAUCCGUGCAUUUCAAAAAAUGUACAGUAAUUUAAAAAUGUUCCUGUUUUCGUUUUUCUGCCAAAAAAUAUUUUUUUUUAGUGUUUUAAAAAAUUGUUCAGAAGUUAAAAAAUAGAGCGCAAAUAUUUUGCGACGUCAUGAGCAAAAAAAAUUAAACUAUAAUAUUUCUCCAAUCUUGAACUGUUUUUCAAAUUUGAACAUUUUCUGAAAGAUGAAAAAAAAACUAGGAGAAACCGUAGCAAGCAUUUUUUGAAAAACUAGGAGGUACUGUAGCAGAAAAUAUUGAAGACAUGCUGGCCUGAAUAAUUUUUUGUACUGCGGACAUUGUUUAAAAAUUCUGAAUAGUUUUCCAAAACAUUGAUUGUAUUAAAACACAACCAAUUUUAAAAAAAGCAAACACUAUUUCGGACAUAAACAUUUUAAAAUAAAAACAGGUGCAAAUUCUGAAGCAUGAACAAUUUUUUCAAAAUAUUUAUACAAUGUAAAAAAAAGUUAUUGUCUUCACGUAAAUGUAAAACAUGUAGUUUACAAAAUAUUGUUGUGUCACAUUGUUCAAAAAAUGUUUUCGGAAUUUCGUAUACUAUUUGUUUUUAAAAAAUAUUCUGUAUUUCAAACUGUUCAAAUUUUUUCCAAGAAAUGUUUCGUAAUUUUUCAAAAAACAAAUCAUAUAUGAACAAUACUCUCUGUUCUUAUAAGGAAUGUGCUAUGUCAGAUCAAUUGCAUCCUUCAGUUGCGUUGGCUAGGUGCGGCCGCUACUAGCCCGAGGUUUACUAGUUCGAAUCAUCCUGUCAUGCACAUUACGUACUACUAGUAUUUUUUAUCGCUUGGGUUCGUAGAAAACGAAAAAGAAAAAACACCCAAUCAACUGCGUCGAUGGGCUGGCCCGAUUUAUCCUAGUAUCCAGCCAGUCAGUCAAGUAUCUUUUUCUCCAAAAAAAAAAAGUCAGUCAAGUAUCCUUGCCACAUCAAGCAGUAUAGCAGCUAAACACCCUCAAAGGUUUAAAAUAGACCGGGAUCAGAGAGUUCGGUGUGCUGAUUUCCGGAAUUACAAGUUCAGGGUUUGAUUUAGCUUUUCUCAAUAAGUUCAAGGUUUAUUUUGGACUUUUUCCUUUUAUUUAUUGAUAGAUAGACAAGAGACCGCUACUUCCCCUCGUAGGAAGGGUGAUGACCAAGCCAGAAUCGUAGCCUACCUUAUGCGCCGAUAUAUAUGCUACGAAGUAGUAUAAGGUAACGAACCUUAUUACAAUCCUAAACAUAAUUAUUCCAGAAUGAUAAUAUCCUGAACAUCAGUUUUUGAGUUUCCGGUACUGGCUUAUCACCGUCCAUUGCAGCGUACGAAUCUUAAAUCCAGUUGCAGUGCCACAUUAGAUGUUGUCCAUCGUUCACUGUAGCCAUCGCCCUUCCAAAAUGCGCACUCUCCAUGCAGGUCCCCUUUUCUCUCUCCCUUCUCUGCUCCCACCAACCGCCCUCGGCAGUUUCCCCAUUCCCCUCUCGCUUUUACUCGCUCUCGGCUGGUGUGUGGCGACUCCGCGGCUGAAGGGUCGCGAUUGAGGGAAUCCUGGAUUAGGAGGUCCUCGGCCAGCCGGACUAUAUCCUUUGGCCGGACUGUUGGACUAUGAAGAUACGAGAUUGAAGACUUCGCCCCGUGUCCGGAUGGGACUCUCCUUUGCAUGGAAGGCAAGCUUGGCGGUUCGGAUAUGUAGAUCUCCUUCUCUGUAACCGACUCUGUGUAACCCUAGCCUCCUCCGGUGUCUAUAUAAACCGGAGGGUUUAGUCCGUAGAACAACAACAAUCAUAAAUAUAGGCUAGCUUCUAGGGUUUAGCCUCAACGAUCUCGUGGUAGAUCAACUCUUGUAAUACUCAUAUCAUCAAGAUCAAUCAAGCAGGAAGUAGGGUACUACCUCCAUCGAGAGGGCUCGAACCUGUGUAAACAUCGUGUCCCCAGCCUCAUGUUACCAUUAGCCUUAGACGCACAGUUCGGGACCCCCUACCCGAGAUCCGCCGGUUUUGACACCGACAUUGAUGCUUUCAUUGAGAGUUCCACUGUAUCGCCGCGAUAAGGCUUGAUGGCUCCUUCAAUCAUCAGCAACGAUGCGGUCCAGGGCGAGAUUUUUCUCCCCGGACAGAUCUUCGUAUUCGGCGGCUUCGUACUGCGGGCUAACUCGCUUGGUCAUCUAGAGCAGAUCGACAGCUACGCCCCUGGCCACCAGGUCAGGUUCGGAAACUUGAACUACACAGCCGACAUCCGCAGAGACUUGAUCUUCGACGGGUUCGAGCCCGCGUCAGGAGCGUUGAAAAUUCACGACGAGCAUGACUUACAUCUGCCAUCAGACGGUAUUCGGGAUAUCGCACCUACAGCUGCCCCGGACUUUAAUCUGGAGCAGAUCGCGCCAUCCGAGGACGGGUGGAUGGACCCCGCCAUGGAGGCCGUGCACUCAUCGGCGUUGGAGCCAAACACAGACUCCACCUCCAAAGAGAUUUGUGUAACCGGACCCCCGGACUCGUCUCCGGUCUUAGGGUCCAAAACCGCGCGCGUCCGUGCCCAUCGAAUCUGAUUCGGCACCGAUCAUAGAGUUUACCUCCGUGGGUAUCUUUCAACACUCACCCUUGGGUGACAUGCUAAAUUCACUGAGGUCUCUCUCUUUAUCAGGGGACUCAUGGCCGAACUAUGUCUAGCUCGAGUGGGAUGCGGAUAACGAAGAAAUUCGCUACCCACCCACCACCCACUUAAUAGCCACUGUCGAUGACUUAACCGACGUGCUCAACUUCGACUUCGAAGACAUCGACAGUAUGAACGACGAUGCAGGAGAAGAACAGGAACCGACACCCACAGGGCGCCGUACAACAACCUCAUCAUAUGAUAUAUAUAUAUAUAUAUGGUGGACACCCCCAAAGAAAACAAUGGUGAUGAGGCAACGAAGGACAAUCCCCUGGGGAGGCAAUCAAAACACUAGCGUCAUUGACGCCGCUCUAAGCCCCGCCACGGAAGAAAUAGCAGCACUGACACAGGAGAUGAUAGCAAUCCGGAUGGUGCCGAAGACGAAGACAAUCCCGCCCAGCCUGACUUCAAGCAGGCCGGCCAGAAGGAUGGGCAAGCUAGCCCUAAGGAUCAGGCAACAUAUGGAGAAUUAGAGGAAGAUAAUUAUAUGCCUCUCUCUGAAAACGAGGCGGGCCUCGGUGACGAAGAAUUUGCCGUGCCUGAGGAUCCUGUCGAGCAGGAGCACUUCAAGCGCCGGCUUAUAGCCACUUCAAAAAGCCUGAAGAAAAAACAACAACAGCUUCAAACUGAUCAAGAUCUGCUAACAGAUAGAUGGACUGAGGUCCUGGCAGCCGAGGAAUACGGACUCGUGCGCCCAACCAAAAGUUACCCAAAGCGCAGGUUGCUACCUCACCUCGAGGAGGAGGCACUAGAGCCCACUUUACUAGCACAGGACGAGGCUGACCGGCCACCUCGUGGCCGAGACAAUGCGGCGCAUCAGCCCGAACACCAACCCGCACCCCGCCGCCAAUACUACGGCCAGGGGCUACACGCAAGACCUGCGAGACGUACUGGGAAACAAAGCAGGACAGUCAAGAUCAAUCUACGGAUCACGAAGGCGCGCCACAACGCGUGAAGAUAAUCGUCACGCCGGAUACACUAAAAACAAAUCCGACCUGGCCGAAUACAACAAACCAGAUUCAUUCGAACUGUGCCGUGAUAUAGACCGGCACAGAGGCACCGCACACCCCCUAUGCUUCACCGAUGAAGUAAUGGAUCAUGAAUUCCCAGCAAGGUUUAAACCCGUAAACAUUGAAUCGUAUGAUGGUACAACAGACCCUGCAGUAUGGAUCGAAGAUUUCCUUCUCCACAUUCACAUGGCCAGCGACGACGAUCUACAUGCCAUCAAGUAUCUCCCACUUAAGCUCAGGGGACCGGCCCGGCAUUGGCUGAAUAGCCUGCCGGCAAACUCCAUUGGUAGUUGGGAGAACCUGGAAGACACAUUCCUUGACAAUUUCCAGGGCACUUACGUGCGACCACCGGACGCUGAUGACUUAAAUCACAUAACCCAACACCCCGGAGAGUCAGCCAGAAAAUUCUGGACUCGGUUCCUAACUAAAAAGAACCAAAUUGUCGACUGUCCGGAUGCCGAAGCCCUAGCGGCUGAGGGAGUUCCGGACUAGGGGGUGUCCGGAUAGCCGAACUAUCAUCAUCGGCCGGACUCCAAGACUAUGAAGAUAGAAGAUUGAAGACUUUGUUCCAUGUCCGGAUGGGACUUUUCUUGGCGUGGAAGGCAAGCUUGGCGAUACGGAUAUGUAGAUCUCCUACCAUUGUAACCGACUUUGUGUAACCCUAGCCCUCUCCGAUGUCUAUAUAAACCGGAUGGCUUUAGUCCUUAGGACGAACAACAAUCAUACCAUAGGCUAGCUUCUAGGGUUUAGCCUCAUUGAUCUCGUGGUAGAUCCACUCUUGUAACACACAUCAUCAAUAUUAAUCAAGCAGGACGUAGGGUUUUACCUCCACCAAGAGGGCCCGAACCUGGGUAAAACAUCGUGUCCCUUGUCUCCUGUUACCAUCCACCUAGACGCACAGUUCGGGACCCCCUACCCGAGAUCCGCCGGUUUUGACACCGACAUUGGUGCUUUCGUUGAGAGUUCCUCUGUGCCGUCACCAUCAGGAAGGAUGCCCUUUCCCGUCUUUAAAGACGGCACCGUCGUCAAGGGAGCUUUGGCUGCUGGCCAAACUAUCCGUCUAGGCGGUUUUCUUAUGACCACCUGUUCGGCCGCCGCUCCGACAAUGACCUCUCAGGUCAUUAAAAGCGAUCUUCACGUCAGCUCGGAAUUCGCCGAGCAGCUAGAUCCGAUUGAGCUCUCCUCCGUAAACGAGCUCUUGGAUCGCAUCGCCGCCCUGGGAGUCGCUACCGACUACGAUCAGAUUGGGCUUAAAACCGAUCUGAGAGAAAUUAACUCUCCCCAGGUUACCCACCACGUUGUUGUGGUAGAGGAACAAUGCGGCGACUCUUCUUCUAUGUUAAAAACCAACUAUGUCCGGAUUCCCGAUCCCUCCAUGCCGGAUUUCCACGAAGGGAUGGACGCUAAUCAAAUACUGAACUUAAAGUCAGGCAUCGGACCAGAUUUGUUGGAAAGCGUCCAGCAAACCAAGCUUCCGAAUCCGGAAGCUUCUUGGCCUUUGAGCCUCAGAUCGGGCGGGGUUCUGAACUUGAUUCCACCCGCCCACCCAAACAUAAGCGAUCUAUCUCAAAUACGGCAAGAGCCCGAUGAAACAGUACAUCAUUACUGGGCCAGAUUCCUCCUGGUUAUGAACAGGAUAAAGGACUGCCGUGAAGAAAGCGCGGUUUCAAUCUUCUGCAACAAUUGCACGGACAAGGGAAUCAUAAACGCCAUCAGUCGUCGCAAAGUGACACGCUUCGUCGACCUAGCGACCAUUGUACAAAAAUACUGCGCGAUGGAAAGUGCCUAGAAAACCGAAACUAGGUUUUGGGACAAUCCGGCCCUGAAUACAACCCCAGUCCAAAAUAAAAGGGUGCGUCAUACUCAAGCACCUGGGUUAAAAACCAAAAAGCAAAAACCCCCUAAAGGGUACGGAACCGUACUGGAGGGAUGGCUCAACGGACCCUGCAAAAUCCACAGUACAGAGGGCGCCACUCCAACACAUAGCCUUCGAGCAUGUUGGAUAUUACGGCAGGUGGCCAAAAGUGGUGAAGGCUUUUUAGCCCCGGGUAACCAGCCCAGCAACACCAGUACGGUAUUAACAGUCUUCGAGACUUUCGCAUCAAAUAAUAUGCGGAAACAAACAAUCCGCAGCCUCGCCGAAGUCUACCAAGUUGCAACAACAAAUCCAUGGAGUGACACGACUAUCACCUUCAAUGCCAGCGACGAACCUAAAUUCCGAACAGCUAGAGCACCAGCCGCAUUGGUCCUCAGUCUGAUAGUGGACGGCUUUCGUCUUACCAAGGUACUCAUGGAUGGCGGCAGCGGAUUAAACCUCAUCUACGAAGAAACUCUUCAAAAAAAUAGAAAUUGACUAGAGCCGCAUCGAGCGGAGCAGCACAACCUUCAGGGGAAUAAUCCCUAGUCGAUAAGUACGCUGCACAGGAAAAAUAACACUAGAUGUAGUGUUCGGCUCGCCGGACAAUUACAGGUCCGAAGAGGUCACGUUCCAAGUGGCCCCAUUCGGCAGCGGAUAUCACGCUUUGUUAGGGCGAGAGGCAUUCACAAUCUUCCAAGCUAUACCCCAUUACGGGUACAUGAAGCUCAAAAUGCCCGGACCCAAUGGAAUAAUCACUCUCGCCAGUGAUCCAGAUACAGCACUACGCGCUGAAAAUAAGACAGCCGCACUGGCCUUAGAGGCAUUAUCCGAAGCCCUAGCGGCAGAAGAACUAACUGCGCUGCGCUCAACGGUGGAUAGGGACGACGUGAUACUCGACAAGAGGUCCAAGUCCAUCUCUUUCAAACCAGCAGACGAAAUAGUCAAAUUUCAGGUCCAUCCAACGGACCCCACAAAGACGGCAUCCAUUGGGGCACAAUUAAAUCCUGAUGUAGAAGCCGCACUACGAGAAUUCCUCCGGAAAAAUUGGGACAUUUUUGCCUGGCACCCUUCAGACAUGCCAGGAAUCCCACGCAGGCUAGCAGAGCACAGCCUAAAUAUCCUAAAAGGAUUCAAACCAGUCAAACAAGCUCUUUGGCGAUUUUCCGAACCCAAAAGACAGGCAAUGGGAGAGGAGCUAGCCAAGCUCUUAGAAGCCGGAUUCAUCAGAGAUAUCAAACAUCCGAACUGGCUAGCCAACCUAGUAAUGGUACCAAAAAAGGACAAAUCCUGGCGCCUCUGCGUCGAUUUCAAAGACCUUAACAAGGCCUGUCCAAAGGACCCUUUCCCUCUCCCUCGCAUCGACCAAAUCAUCGAUGCUACUGCAGGGCAUGAUUCAUUGUGCUUCCUCGAUGCAUACUCCGGAUACCAUCAAAUAAAGAUGGCGGAAAAAGACCAGGCCGCAAUGGCAUUCAUUACUCCAUAUGGGUCAUUCUGCUUCAACACAAUGCCCUUCAGACUCAAAAACGCCGGCGCAACAUAUCAACGCAUGAUUCAGACAUGUCUGGCCACCCAGAUAGGCAAAACAGUAGAGGCAUACGUAGACGAUGUGGUCGUCAAGACCAAACACGUCGAAACCCUAGUAGACGACUUGAGGGUGACAUUUGACAACCUCCGAGCAUAUGACAUUAAGCUCAACCCGGAAAAAUGUGUCUUCGGAGUACCAGCCGGAAAGCUUUGGGGCUUCAUUGUAUCCGGUAGAGGAAUUGAAGCAAACCCAGCCAAGAUCCGAGCUCUGUCACAAUUGGAUAUCCCAAAAUACCUCAAGCAAAUACAAAAACUAACAGGGUGCGUAGCGGCUCUAAGCCGCUUCAUCUCCCGUCUGGGAGAAAAGGCUCUGCCCCUCUAUCGCCUCCUCUGGCGCACCGAACACUUCGAAUGGACGGAUGCCGCCAUGACCGGACUCGAAGAAAUCAAGGCCAUACUGGCAACAAAUCCGGUCCUGGUCGCGCCCAACCUGGGCGAACCUAUGUUAUUAUAUAUCGCAGCAACACAUCAGAUUGUCAGCGCGGUACUCGUCGUCGAACGAGAAACAGAAGGGCACAGAUUCCCUCUUCAAAAACCAGUGUACUACGUAUCCACUGUCUUAACUCCAUGCAAGUCCCGGUACCCACAUUAUCAAAAGAUAGCGUAUGCGGUGUUCAUGGCAUCCCGGAAGCUGCGACACUACUUUCAAGAGUGUUCCAUAACGGUGGCCUCCGAAGUACCUCUCAACGAUAUUAUAAACAACCGCGACGCAACGGGCAGGAUUCCAAAAUGGGCCAUUGAGCUCUUACCAUUUGACAUAACCUACAAACCACGGCGAGCUAUAAAAUCACAAGUUCUGGCUGACUUCAUCGUCGAAUGGACCGAAGCCGAACUCCCUAAAGAGUACGGCGCGUACUCCAAUUGGAUCAUGCAUUUCGACGGAUCCAAAAUGUUGCCUGGCUUGGGGGCUGGCGUCGUCUUGACGUCCCCAACUGGAGACACAGUCCAAUAUGUACUUCAAAUAAUGUACAUGGACUCCAACAACGCAGCCGAAUACGAGGCCCUCUUGCACGGCCUCCAGAUGGCAAUCUCCAUGGGCAUUCAACGCCUAGAGGUGCGCGGAGAUUCAAACCUCGCAAUAUCCCAAGUAAAUGGAGACUUUGAUGCCAAAGAUCUGAAAAUGGCAGCUUACCGCAACACCGUCCUAAAAAUGUCAGCUCGGUUCGAAGGACUCGAAUUCCACCAUGUAGCCCGGGAUAAUAACCAGGCAGCAGACGUGUUAGCACGCAUCGGCGCAAAAAGCGACACCGUCCCUCCAAACAUCUUCCUCGAACGGCUCUUUAAGCCAUCCGUAUUAUGGGAAGAGGAGUCCGGAAAUAACAAUCCGGAGCCAGCUGCAGCACCUAACCCAGACAAUUCCGACACAAUCGGCGGCUCAGCAAAUGAAAUAACACCUUCAACCCACGAAAUAAUGGCAGUAAUUGCCCUGUGGACGGAACCAUUCCUAGCCUACUUAAUUAGGCAGGAACUUCCCGAAGACCAAAAUGAGGCCCGCUGCAUAGUUCAGCGAUCUAAAGCCUACAAGGUCCAUGAGGGAGAACUUUAUAAGAAAAGCACAACCGGAGUCCUUCAAAGGUGUAUCUCCGAAGAGGAAGGGCGUAAUCUCCUGGCUGAAAUUCACGCCGGACUCAGAGGGCACCACGCUGCAGCCCGGGCCCUUGUUGGCAAGGCCUUCUGUACAGGAUUUUAUUGGCCGACAGCCCGGGCAGAUGCUCAGGACUUAGUCCAAUGAUGCGUCGGUUGCCAGCUCUUCGGUAAUCAGAGCCACAUGCCACCCACCGCCCUCAAAACUAUACCCAUCACCUGGCCGUUCGCGGUCUGGGGCUUGACAUGGUUGGACCCCUUAAAGGGGGAACCCACAAGCACAAAUACUUAUUGGUCAUGGUGGACAAAUUCACCAAAUGGAUUGAAGCCAAGCCGGUUAAAACAGCAGAAUCCGGACCUGUGAUAGAUUUUAUAUCCGGGGUAGUACACCGUUUUGGCGUCCCCCACAGCAUCAUCACUGAUAACGGCACGAAUUUCACGGCCGACGAGGUUAAACUCUGGUGCAAAAAUAUGGGCAUCAAGCUCGGCUACGCUUCAGUUUACCAUCCCCAAACAAACGGCCAAGUCGAGCGAGCAAAUGGUCUAAUCAUGAGCGGCAUCAAACCCAGACUAGUGCGGUCCCUCAAGGAAUCUAACACGCACUAGGUAGAGGAGCUCGACUCCGUACUCUGGGGGCUGCGGACCACGCCAAACCGAACUACCGGAUUCACACCAUUUUAUGGUGUACGACACAGAGGCAGUUCUGCCCUGCGAUAUAAUUCAUGACUCACCUCGCAUGCGCAUGUACGAAGAAAGAGAAGCCGAGCUGGAUCGGCAGGAUAGUUUGGACGCCUUAGAGGAGGAGCGGGACGUGGCAAAAGCUCGUUCCGCAUUUUAUCAACAGCAGGCUCAAAGAUAUCAAAGCAGAGAAGUACGGGCCAAAGCUUACAAUGUUGGCGAACUUGUUCUACGUCUGCCGGACAAGAAAAAGGACAAACUUAAGCCCAAGUGGGAAGGUCCCUUCAUCAUCGACCAAGUCCUAACCGGCGGAGCAUACCGUCUACGCAGCGCAUCUGACAACCGACUCGAGUCGAACCCAUGGAACGCAGCCCGUCUCCGAAGAUUCUACGCCUAACGCCGGACUCAGAGUUCGUCUCACUCCUCCGUCCACCUUUUUACGUUUUCACUGUCUCUUGUCCCCCUCCUUCUUCCCACUUUUUUUUUCGAAUACCUUGGAUAGGCUGAUUUGCGCAUUGUUCGCACAUAGUUGAUGUGCUCCUAGCACUCAUUAUACCUGGGGGCUUCUUUAACAGAAGCUUAAUUAUACGGGCUUCAUGCCCGACACAUGUGUCAUACUUUCGCAUGUACCUUUUUUUCACCAUUAUAUGCAUCGAUGUGACUUAAGUUUUGGCCAAGCUGGGUUGCCUGGCUCCUGUGCUUACCCCUACGUUCCCGAUUGUUCGGCUAAGAGGUAAAGGGAGCACCUCUGUGAUUGUUACUGCCGGGUCAGCCGGAUGUGUACCUCAGACUGGGUGAAGCCGAAAGCUAGCGUUCUUAAGAGAAUAUUCGGUCGGUGACUUGAAAGAUGAUUUAUUACUUAUUUAUUUGCCCCCAGAUGCUUUCUCUGCUAUUUUCGCAGUCCGGACAUGCACUUUAGGGCAUGCCUCCCAGGGAAAGGAACCCUUAACGGAACUAUUCUCCCUGGAAGAUGUUUCUUACUAACCAUGUAAUAUAACAUAACUAGUUGGGCACUUGUCUGAUAAAGCAAUUAUGACCCCGACGCCUUGUCUCCAUGCAUGCCCCGGUUCUUCUAUAACCGUAAGGGUAUUCGGACACACUCCGGACUGUUGGGUCCCGAGGUUGAAGCAAAAAGGUCCACAAAGACAAACGAUCUACAAUCCGGCUAGAAGGCAUUUUACAUGUCAUUUCAAAUUACAUCGUCAAACCGACUGAUUGUACUCCUCCUCAAUCCCAUCUAACAGGCUGUCUAAUUUACAGUCCUGUUGGGAAUAUUUUGCGGCCAGUUCUACUUGGCCGUACAUCAAGCUCACAGGGAUCUCCUUCCCAUCAGGCCCCGCAGGUCCGACCUCGGCCAUGUGGUUUGGGUCAGCCUUCGGGUACCGCGUCUUCACCAUGGCCUAGGCCUCCCUGGCGCCCUGACGGCAGGCCGAUAUCUUCCACAGACGGAGGCAUCGCCGUGCUCCCUGAAGCUUCUCAGCAAGCCCUCCAAGGCCCUCGGGUAGGGAGACGGAUGGCCAUAACGCCUGAACGACGCCACUCAUCGCCUGCUGAACACGUUCGAGCAGUUGCACCAGCUCGGGAAGUUGGUCACCCGUUGAACCAGGCAUUUCCUCCGCAGGGCAACCUGUGAGCACACCUAAAGACACAUUUCUAUCAAUCGACUUCCUCGCCGAAUUCUUCUUUUCAAAGGAAUUUGCUCAAGCACUUACUAUAAAUGCCGCGACGAAGCCGCUGAUUCUCCUUCACGGAGCCAGACAGCUGGGCCCGAACACCUUUCAGCUCUUCUCCUAGCUGGGUGUGGGCAUCUUGGAGCUUGUUUCUCUCCUGCUGCACCUUCAUAAGCACCCUCUCGCCGGCCUUUAGCUGACGCAGUAGUUGUUGCUUGUCCAGAUCUAGUCCGGUGCCCUCUGCAAUAUUAUUGUCAGAUUUACGCACACGCCACACUUUGUUAACUACUUAUCUUUUCGAAGUACGUAUUACCAGCGGGGGUCUCUGUGGCUCCCCCUGUGGUGGCUACUGCGGCCUCAAGUUGGGCCUUGCACUCUUGGAGCUCCUUGGACAGGUGGGUAUUCUUCUCCGUAAGAUCCUGCAUAAUAAAUGAUCCUUAAAUCAGUUAUUUUAACUAUUUUAAGUCUAGGGGGCUACUAGCAUAUAUAACUAUUAAAAUUACUUACACGUAUGUCCUUCACAUAAUGCUCCGUGGCUCUGGUUAAACCAUCUUGAGCGGCACGGAGGUGCGCGUUUCCCGCAUCAAAGGCAUUCAAACGCCUCCGAGGAGAAACACGCGUCACGAAGAACUGUCCGGCGACGCCUGUGAUUCAUGGCGCUCUCCACCUUAGAUCGGGUGGCGGAUAGCCUAUCGGCAUCCUCCGUCGGAGGAGCAUCCGGCUCUUGCCUUGUGUUUGCCUCCACUUCCGGACCACGCGAUGGAGCAUGGCUGGCGGAGGCUUGAUUGGCAACCUCUCCGGACACCGUCCGACGAGCGCUCUUUUUCCUGGAAAAAGUUAUGAGCAUCAAUAUAGGGAUCCUUCCCUUAAAAACAACGAUGCGCCGUACCGUUGCGGCGACGUUUCGAUUCGCGUCGCACUCCUCUUCUGCCUGCUGGGCCGAACUGACCCUUGCUGGUCAGCCGCCGCAGGUUCGGCUUCCCGCCUUAAAGGCACCUCCUGCGAUGCACCAUCAGUAUAGGAUGGUCAGAAUUGAGCACGGAUCAAAUGAUGGUGUCAAAACCUUGGUCGUAGUCACCUAGGUGGCCGAAAACAAACCGGGGUAGUCAGCUGUAAUGGCGACUAGAGCAUUGUCCAUGCUAAGUUGGUGGAACACCCCGUCAAUCAGAUCCACCUUUAUGUCCGGGUCCUCUUCGGGGGUCGGAUCAAGGGAUCGUUCCGGAUCCUCGAGCUGUGGAGUUAGGCUUCGUAUGCCCUCCACGUUCCGGCGCAGCUCCUGCAUCGAAAUCACAAAGUAAAAUACUUGACUUUGGAAGUAUGGAUCGGGUAGAUAAACGUCCGCUUACCCAGCUCCGAGGGUUAUUCAUGGAGAAUCCGUUCAAUGGAUUCGUGCGGAGAAAGUCCUCCUCCUCCCCUUGUACAAGCCGGACAGGAUCUUUGCCAGAUUGGCUGCCGAGCUCGGCCCUUUGCGGCCAUGACGGGUGGCGUCGUCUUCCCCGUUGAAAUCCCACAUAGGGUGGCCCCUAUAUUGGAGUGGCUGCACCCCUCGCAUAAUGCACGUGGCCAUGAUUCCAAUCAUGGUCAAUCCGGAGUGGGCCAGUAACCUAAUCUGGCCCAUCAGAUAAUGGACGCUCCCAUCCUCCUCCCGUUGAGGGCUCCGCGGGCGCCAACUCAGGCGUUUCUUCAAGGGAGCAUUGCUGAACUCCGGGAGGCCGAUCCGAACUGGAUCCGACAGAGGGGCGUCCUCCAUGUAGAACCAUUCCGAAGGCCAGUCUUCGGACGCCUUCUUCGGGGUGCCGGAUAGAUAUCCGGUCCCAGCGAUGCGCCAUAUUUCGGCUCCACCCACUUGAUAUAUCGACCCCUCAUAGGAACAGGGUACGAGGCAAAACAAUCUCUUCCACAACGCAAAAUGGGGCUCGAUGCCCAGGAACAACUCGCAAAGAGCUACAAAGCCCGCGAUGUGCAAAAUGGAGGCAGGUGUGAGGUGGUGAAGCUGGAGUACGUAGAACUCCAGGAGCCCCCGGAGAAACGGGUGUAUGGGAAAUCCGAGUCCCCUUAUUAGAUAAGGGACGAAGCAUACCCGCUCUCCUUUGGAAGGGCUGGGGACGCUCUCCGCCUGCUUUCCACCCUCGAAGGUGGCCAGUUCGGCUCGAACCGGAACCAUGAAAGCUGGGGGAAGAUAUCCCUCGGUUUGGAGCGCCACUAGCUCGCCGUGUGGAACGGAGCAUCUCCCCCAAUCUCCUGGCUUAGGGCUGGGAGCGCGAGAGGAGGAGCCGCGUUGACUAUCCAUGAUGGAAUGGGUUUUUGUCAGAGGCGCUUCGAUGAGGACUUGCGGAUGGAGGAUGGUGUGAGCUGGAUCUAGAUCCUCGCCUCUCUUAUAGGCGGCUCAUUCGCACGGCUAAGGGGUAAAAUGUAAAAAUACCCUAGCUUUUCGCAUUCAUAUGACACAUGGAAGAAGGCCAUUAUUUGGCGUAGAAGCCAAGGAGCGCAACAUUUAUAAGGAAGCCGGACACUAUUCGACAGGAACAUGAAGUUUGAAGGAGAACCCGCCUUGCAACGCCGAAGACAAUAUACGCGCCGGACUCGUCAUCGCUGAAGCCCGGUUCGGGGGCUACUGAGGGAGUUCCGGACUAGGGGGUGUCCGGAUAGCCGAACUAUCAUCAUCGGCCGGACUCCAAGACUAUGAAGAUAGAAGAUUGAAGACUUUGUCCCGUGUCCGGAUGGGACUUUCCUUGGCGUGGAAGGCAAGCUUGGCGAUACGGAUAUGUAGAUCUCCUACCAUUGUAACCGACUUUGUGUAACCCUAGCCCUCUCCGGUGUCUAUAUAAACCGGAUGGCUUUAGUCCUUAGGACGAACAACAAUCAUACCAUAGGCUAGCUUCUAGGGUUUAGCCUCAUUGAUCUCGUGGUAGAUCCACUCUUGUAACACACAUCAUCAAUAUUAAUCAAGCAGGACGUAGGGUUUUACCUCCAUCAAGAGGGCCCGAACCUGGGUAAAACAUCGUGUCCCUUGUCUCUUGUUACCAUCCGCCUAGACGCACAGUUCGGGACCCCCUACCCGAGAUCCGCCGGUUUUGACACCGACAACGACCUUUAAGCAUAACAUCCGCGACGAGUGGCUCGCCCGACACCUCGGCCAAGAGAAGCCGAAAUCCAUGGCAGCCCCCACGAUACUCAUGACCCUCUUUUGCACGGGCAAAGAUAACUGGUUGGCUCGUAGCAACAACACAGCAAGCAAUCCUGGCACAUCAGAGGCCAGAGACAGCAGCGGCAAGCCUCGACACAACAAACACAAGCGUCACAAAAAUAGUGAUGACGCCAAAGAUACGGCAUUCAACGCCGGAUUCCGUGGCUCCAAGUCCGUCAGCGGAAAAAGCCAUUUCGAAAGAACAAUUUGGGCCCGCCCGAUCUGGACCGCAUACUUGACCACCCAUGCCAAACUCAUGGUACCCCAGGAACGGCAGCCAAUCAUACCAACCGAGAAUGCGGGGUCUUCAAACAAGCCGGCAGGUCAGGCGUUGAAAACAAGGAGAAGGGGUCUCAAAGCGAUGAAGAUGACGAGGAGCCCAGAUCACCAAACAAUAGAGGGCAAAAGAAAUUCCCCCGCAAAUCAAAAUGGUGAACAUGAUAAACGCCAUCCACAUCCCCAAACGGGAACGGACGUGCACUUUUCGGGAUGUCGACUCAACGAAGCAAGUCGCCCCACAAUACAAAAUACGGCCGAUCACUUUCGAUUGUACAGAUCGUCCGGCCAAUACCAACCAGGGCAAUUCAGCCGCACUUAUCCUCGACCCAAUAGUUUGCGGGUUCCACCUCACAUGAGUCCUUAUGGACGGAGGCAGCAGUCUAAACCUGCUGUAUUAGGACACAGUGCGCCAGAUGGGUAUCGAUCGCUCGAUGAUCAAACCCACUAAAACCUCCUUUAAAGGUGUUAUACCAGGUGUGGAGGCUAGUUGUAUAGGCUCCAUCACUCUGGAUGUAGUCUUUGGAUCACCAAAUAAUUACCGUACCUAAGAGUUAGUCUUCGACAUCGUCCCUUUCCGCAGUAAUUAUCACGCACUGCUGGGGCGAACCGCGUUGGCUCGAUUCAACGCGGUACCACACUAUGCCUAUGGCAAGCUCAAAAUGCCCGGCCCGCGUGGCGUGAUCACAAUUAAGGGCAAAGCCGAACUCCACCUUAGUGCCGAAGAGUAUACCGCCGCUUUAACAGCAGAAGCAGCGAGUGGCACCUUUCAAUCGAACCUUGAUUCGACGGCCAAGCUCCCGGACACCGAUAAAGGAGUCCAAACUACUUCACGGCAUGAUAGCUCGGCUCGACCAGGGCUCAAUUAAACACUCCGGCAAAAGUUGGGAAGGGCCAUAUUUCGCGGCUCAACCGCUCUAUGGCACACAAAUAUUUCUACCAUUUCCUUUGCAGGUUCACUUUUGCACAAGACAGGACUGGCGACAUGGAAUCAACUCGGACGCGCAAGGGAAAUCCUUAGAAAUUCCCCUCGAAGACAAUCCGGAUAAACUCUGGAUCCGCACACAGCUUCUUCCCGCCUGGUCUCAGCAGGUUCCGCCGUCAUACUUCUUUUUAUAACAUCACCUGUACUCAUACGCAUAGACGUAUUACUCGAAUACAACAUGUAGAUUUAUAUGACGCUUAUCUGCUAUCAUUUCCUAUUGACACCUUUCCUCAUAACGGCAUCCGUACAUCAUGUCAUGCCCUAAUACGUCAGGGGCUUCAUUGUACCCAUACUAUGGCAAUAAAGUCCGACCACCUUCCCGGUCGCUCGGCACCCCGAACUUAUAGCAUUAUAUGCAUCAGCUCCGAAUCAUGUCUUGGGUCAAUAGUUGGGCUUGCCCGGCUCCCAUGUUUUGAUAUCUUACGUUCCGCAAUAUCAGCUAAGGUAGCACUGGGAGAACUACUGCGAUUGUGUCCCGGUUCUUCCGGACGAGCACCUUAGUAGAGAAAGCCGAAAACUUACUGUCAUGAUACGGCGAGAGCUGGUCAGCUGUUCAAGAGGUUGUAAAAUCUUUAAGGAUUUAUUCCGCAUAAUGCCAUAACCAAUGCAGCGUGCGAUGGAUCGGUCUUUCUUCCAAUCAGGUGCUGAUAGAGCCCCUCGUGCAGUCUUCCGAACACCAGGGGCUAUGCCUACCUUACUAAAACUCCUAUGGCUAAGUGAGAGUGAUAAAGCCUUAUAGUCUGAUUGCAUGGUUCGUUGUGCUGAACACCUCCUUUAAGGACCAAAAAAUGGGAUAAAGAGUGUUCAUGUUUAUCCCGAACACCCCCGUACUUCCUAUGUGGGGGCAGAAGCCGACGACUGGCCAACUCUCAGAAUUAAUAUAUAUGAAACGGCCGCACAAGAGGAAAAACUUUCACAUAACAGGCAAUAAAUAAUAAAAGUGACCUCGUUUCGCCUUACAAAGGACAUCAUGACUGUUUUCAUGGAAAUACAAUGUCUUUGGUACAUUGCUCCGCCACAAGGCGGGCUCCUUUCAGGACACUAUCAUAAUAUAAUUCGGGCUUGCGGCGCUCCUUCCCCUCCGGCGGUCCCUCGGUCAUCAGCUUUUCAGCAUCAAGCUUUCUCCAGUGCACUUUCGCGUGGGCAAACGCCAUUCGUGCACCCUCCAUACAGACCGACCACUUAAUGACUUCGAGCCGAGGGCAAGAACUCACAAUCUGCUUCACGAGCCCGAAGUAACUGCUUGGAAUUGGCUCGGCGGGCCAUAGCCGGACAAUCAAAUCCUUCAUGGCUAGUCCGGCUGCCUUGUGCAGUUCGAGCUGCUUCAGUUGAUCGGCAAAUGACACCGGAUAAUUUGGUGCCAAAUACUGCGACUAGAAGAGCUUUUAGCAGUCUUAUUUUCUUCAGCUCGGUAGAAUUGGGCGGCAUUAGAUAUGCUGCGUGGCAGCUCCGCAAACGCCCCUGGAGAAAUCAGAAUUCAAUUUAUCAACUUGAUUUUCUCCUUUCACUAAAUAAAGACCGCCUUGUAUAAGAAAAAGCCUUACCAGCCGCAAUCUUCCUCGCCUCCUGAAUUUCCUUCAGAGCACCUUGGGCUUCCUCCUGAGCAUCAUUUGCGGCUUGGAGAGCUUGGGUGAGUUCGGAUUCUUUCCCUGAUAAACUCUGCUCCAAAGUCUCGCUUUUCUUCACGACAUCCUGGAGCUCUCGUUCAGCUUCAAUGACCUUAGCCUCGUGCUUCUCGCGAAGAGCCUGCUUCGUGGCUGCCUUCUUUUCGGCUUCGGCCACAACCUUCUUAAGCGCCUCAAUUUCGGUCAUCGCCCCUAGAGCGCACAAUAAAAAUACUUUCAUCAGGCACACUUAUUCAUUUGUGCUAAACGGAACAAGGUUUCGGCAUACCUUGGUUAUCCUCCAACUGCUUCUUCACUCGGCCAAGUUCUUCUUCGGCCCGCUCCAGACUCUGCUUCAGUCCAGAUACUUCCGCAGUAUGAGAGGCGGCAGUCGCUACAGACGCCUGCUUAUAAACGAAGAGAUAUAUAUGUCAUCAACUAAGUCUCCUGCGAACAGAAAUUUGAUCCUCUGUCCGGUUCUUUCUUUCGCCGAACAGUGUAUCAGGGGCUACUAUCCAUACUAUGACAAUCUUCAAAACCUCAUAAAACAUACCUCAAAGCCUUUUAUAAGGCUGAUGUAGGAUUCAUUCAGUCCACUUUCAACGGACUGAAUCUUCUCAAUCACCGCACCCAUAAGGGUGCGAUAUUCAUCGAUGAUGGAAGCACUUUUUAGCACUGUCGAUAAGCUAUCCUGCACCUUUGCUUGGACAGAGGUUAUCGGUGGAGCAGGCAUGCCCCCUCCAGCCGAGGGAGGCUGCCUGCCUGAUUCUGGAGCCUUAAAGGUCUCCGGGACUGUGUCCGGCUGUGGGCCGAAUUCGAGAUCGCCCUCGCCGUCGACGCUCAUGGGAACCUUCGCUCCCAUAUAUCCGGCACCUGAAGUUUGGCCUCUUGGCACUGCUUUUGUGGUCUUUCCCCCUCCCUGGUCUGGGUCUUUCUGGGACGACACCUCGGUGUCAUUCCUAUGUUUAGGGGAAGGGGCCUUCGGGGGUGUCUCGCUCUCUAUGGCAUCCGAGCUCAACGAAUCCUCCGACGAGGAUUGUUCGGUGCGGGACCUCGCCGGACUGCAAAAAUUAUGGCGCGGAUUAAAAUAUUAUUCCAUAAUGAUCCUGGACGCAUAGGCGUGUUCGGGCUUUGUAUACUCACGAGUUCACCAGGGGCUGGGCCCUGGGAUCCCACUCCGGGCUGCUAUCGGCAGCGGUGGUGGAUGCCUCUGGAAGCGGGAUUUUUCCCCUCUUAGGCGAUUCGGCCUCCAAGGAUGAGGAGGCCGUCCUUUUCUUUCUCCUCCCCGCGGGGGACUCAUCUUCUUCCUCCUGCUCAUCCUCUUCGGAGGAAGAAUGGGCAUUGGAGUCUUCGGAUUUUGUGUCCGAAGCGCCGCGGCGACGGAGGCUGCCCUGGUCUCCUUGGCCUCCUUUUUGGCCUUCUUCUUCGGUGCCUUGUAAGGCGCUGGGACCAGCAUCUUCGUCAUAAGUGGGCCGGCCGAUUCUUCCAGCAGUGGGGCUGGACAGUGUAUCCGCCCCACCUUCUUCGUCCAUCCCUAGGAGAAUUGUGGAAAGCACGUUAAAGUGUCUUCCUCGGGAUAUGCCAAUGAAACAUAUGAAUUGCCAAAACAUAGCAGUGACUUACCGGACUUGCAGGGCGGGACAGUUGGUACCCACGGUCCUCGGCGGAGUCCGACCACGAUUUGUCGGACUUAAAAAGCACCUUCCAGAUGUCCUCGUGCGAGGUGCCAUAGAGCUCCCACAGGGUCUGGUGCUCGGCCGGGUCGUAUUCCCACAAAUUGCAAGCCCGGUGCUGACAAGGAAGAACCAGGCGAACUAACAUCACCUGGACUACGUUGACAAGCUUGAUGUUCUUGUCUUCCAUACCCUUGACGCGUGUCUGGAGCACCGACAGUUCAUCGGACGAAGACCAGUUUAGGCCCAUUCUUGGGCCAGGACGUAAGCUGCAGGGGGGCUCCGGAUCGGAAUUCGGGAGUAGUGGCCCACUUUUUGCCGCGCGGCUCAAUGAUGUAAAACCACUGUUGCUGCCACUCCUUGACAGAAUCAUUGAAAGUGCAUGUUGGUCAUGUGACCUUGGGCAUCUUGCUCACCAUGGUGCCUCCGCACUUGGCAUGCUCGCCGUUCACUACCUUGAGCUUCACAUUGAAAAUUUUCAGCCAUAAGGCGAAGUGUGGCGAGAUGCGGAGAAAGGCCUCACACACGACGAUAAACGUCGAGAUGUUGAGAAAGGAAUUAGGGGAUAGAUCAUGAAAAUCGAUCCCGUAAUAAUACAUGAUGCCGCGAACAAAUGGGUUAAGGGGAAACCCAAGCCCGCGGACAAAAUGAGGGAGGAAUACAACCCUGUCGUGGGGCUCCGGAGUGGGGACAAUCUGUCCCGCCGUCGGAAGACGGUGGCCGAUUUUCUUGGCCAGGUACCCGGCCUCCCGAAGCUUUUUGAUAUCCUUCUCCUGGACGGUAGAGGCCAUCCAUUUGCCUCCUGCUCCGGAUCCGGACAUUUUCGGAAGACCUCUUUUGGUGGAGAAGACGAACGCUUGGGCGCUAGGGCUCGAGCGAAAGGGAAUGGAUGAGUAGAGAGAGAAGAAGGCGUGGGUGAAAAAGAGGAGUCCUUAUCUCUUUAUAGAGGCAAUAGAAACUGUGCGCCUCCCCGCUUGCCUGGUAAAACCCACUCGUUCCCCACACGCCGUGAUUGAUGGCACGGUUGGGUUACCCACGCCCGUAUUGAUGAGAAUCCCGUGAUAAGGGGACAUGAUCUCUGCUUCGACAAGAUGUCCAAGAAAACCGCCUUGCAAUAUGCGCAACAACUGGUUGAGAAAAACGGUUCAAAUAAUGACCGGGCCAUAGUGUGAUAUGAAGUUAUGAAAAAUUGUCAGCAGAUUCGAUCCAUGAAAAAUUAUGCUCUCUAUGGUGGUAUGUGGAAAUUAUUUUGCAGAGCCGGACACAAUCCUCGUAUUCAAGAUCUUCCAUGGAGUAUUCAAAAAAGGAACCUGCCUUGCAAUGCCGAAGACAAUUUGCACGCCGGACUCAUUCUCAUUGAAGCCUGGUUCAGGGGCUACUGAGGGAGUCCUGGAUUAGGGGGUCCUCGGCCAGCCAGACUAUAUCCUUUGGCCGGACUGUUGGACUAUGAAGAUACGAGAUUGAAGACUUCUUCCCGUGUCCGGAUGGGACUCUCCUUUGCGUGGAAGGCAAGCUUGGCGGUUCGGAUAUGUAGAUCUCCUUCUCUGUAACCGACUCUGUGUAACCCUAGCCCCCUCCGGUGUCUAUAUAAACCGGAGGGUUUAGUCUGUAGGACAACAACAAUCAUAAAUAUAGGCUAGCUUCUAGGGUUUAGCCUCAAUGAUCUCGUGGUAGAUCAACUCUUGUAAUACUCAUAUCAUCAAGAUCAAUCAAGCAGGAAGUAGGGUAUUACCUCCAUCGAGAGGGCCUGAACCUGGGUAAACAUCGUGUCCCCAGCCUCCUCUUACCAUUAGCCUUAGAUGCACAGUUCGGGACCCCCUACCCGAGAUCCGCCGGUUUUGACACCGACAGCGAUCGUCUAUUUUCGAUCACCCGAAGUCGGAGCCAUGUAGACAUCUACUCCGCCGCAUUAACAUUUCCAUCUAUGCAUGGUUUUGCCUACUCUCCCCCUUGUUCUCCUUCACGUUUCGGUGCUAGGUUGUAGUGGUGAAAGUAAACAUGUAUGUUUGUGUUAUGCACACUUCUCGUAGGGCGGCUGGAUAUCCACAUAUAUAGAUUACAAUGCUUGAUCAUCAAGGAAGAUCAAGAGAAUCCCUAGCCAAAUCAGUACAUAUCCGGUAGGUGACCAUAUGCCUAUACAAAGUCAUACAUACAAAAGGAAUACAUUAACACACCCCUCCCCAGUUUGUGCGUCAUAUGGCAAGAGGCACAAACUGAACCGAAACUCGGAGAAGACCUGCAAGGAGAAUCCUUUUCCAUAAUGUCGGCGUACUGAUGUGAAGGUGGCACAUGUAGAACCCGCACCUCGCCAAGGGACACCUUCUCACGAACAAAGUGAAUGUCGAUCUCAAUGUGUUUGGUACGAUGAUGCUGGACUGGGUUGGAUGCCAUGUAGACGGUGCUGACAUUAUCACAGAAGACAAUGGUGGCAGUCGAUAGGGGAUGAUGAAGCUCACCUUGAAGCUGCCUAAUCCAAUAACACUCGGCUACCACAUGAGCAACAACACGGUACUCCGCCUUGACACUGGAACAAGAUACCGUGGUCUGGCGUCUGGACGACAAGGAGACCAAAGUAUAACCGAGAUAGACACAAUAUCUAGAGGUCGAACGUCUGGUGUUGGGGGCAGCGGCCCAGUCAGCGUCAAAGUAAGCUGUGAGAGAGGCCGAUGAUGAGCAGGAGAUGCGGAAGCUAAGGUCAAGUGUGCCCCUGAUAUACCAGAGGAUAUGCUUGACCAGGUGCAGAUGCGGCUCGCGAGGUGCAUGCAUAUAGAGACAAGCAUGCUGAACAGCGUGGGCGAUGUCGGGUCGCGUGAGUGUCAAGUACUGUAGAGCUCUAGCAUAGAUGCGGUACUCGGUGGGAUCAGUAAGGAGAAACCCAUCUUGCACCGAGAGCUUAUAUUUGGCAUCAAUGGGAGUAGCCGACAGAUUACAAUCAACCAUGCCGGCACACUGGAGAAGACCCAACGCAUGCUAUCACUGUGAGAGCACCAUAACAGACGCUAUUCAUGAUGCCGAGAAAGAAUGGUAAGUCACCAAGAUCUGUCAUGGCAAACUCGGAGUGAAGAUGCUGAGUAAGAUGAUGAAGGAGCUGAUCCGUGGAGGCGGUGAUAACAAUGUCAUCCACAUAUAGAAAAAUGUAGGCAAGGUCACGUCCACUCUUGAUAUGACCAACUAUGUAUCUGUUAGUAUCGACAAUGAUGAAGUACAAGCCGCUGGUCAAGAUCAAGUUAACGUUACUUCGUUAAUUAUUGUUAAUAAUGUACAUGCUGGAACAUAUUUACGGCCGAGUUACUCCGGCAAGUAUAAGUAUGCGCUGGUUAAUAUAACAAUGCACGCAUGCUGAUACAAUUGAUGGUUUAACAAGAAGUUUUCAUGGCUUUGGCUUGGACCGGGAGAAAAUCAAUCUUGAUGGACGCAUGCAUGUACAAGGACUCCAAAACAGGCACGUACAUGCAAAGGAUAUAUUCUUCCUUCCUCACGUGAGCUGUGGAGAUUCAUCAAGAAAAAGGCAUGGCAUCAUGCACACCCAGGAAACUUAUUCGCUUGGGGGAUCAACGCUCAAUUGGAAGCAUAAAAUCAGAAGCUGCCAUAUUCUGUUUUUAUAUUUGCCGAGAAAGGAGUUUGCUGGGGAAGGUACAAGAUAUUGUUGCGGCUAUUUCUUUCCCUCCGUGAUCUUGGUUGGGGUACACCGUAGUUAACCAAUCAAAGCUACGUCGAACUAGAAAUUAGUUGUUUUUUUUAAUGGUAAUUCCUAGAUGUAAUCAUGUAAAAGGAGUCCUGUUUCUAGACAUAUUGGUGUGCGUGCGUGAGGGGCCUUAGGCCAAGUUUGAGUUGGCUAUAAAAGCCGCAAGGCGUCAUGUAAAAGAGUUUUAGGUUAUUUUUCUUCGGUCUAGACAACAUGUGUAUCGACUAUUAAGCGGCCCUUUUUGGGUGCCGUUGUUAUUUAUUUUGUGUGAACUUUCUGCGUGAAUGUUGCACUUGGCUUGAGAUUCGUCGUGAACGUCUACUACGGCAAGGAAGUUCCUCGUGUGUCGAGGGAUUGUCCAUUGGUCAUUGUCGCCCCUGAUUCAGGUUACACGUAUUGCUCGUGUAAUUGGGAGUAUUUUUUAUUGGUGGAUUUUGGAGGUUAUUGCAUUGUAAAAGAUCGGGCCAUAUCAGCAGCACAACCGAGGUCGUGCCCUCAUCAGUUGGUAUCAGAUUAUUGGGUUUAUUACGGUGCAAUUUUUUCCCUCUAAUUUAUUGGUACAUAUUAUUCAACUGCGAUGAGAACAGAGCACUACUUUGAUGGUGAGAUGUCACAUUGUGAGAAGGAUCCGUCUCGUGCCCUUUCUUGGUUUCAGAUCUACACUAGGGUGAAGGUGGGAAAAAUUUCUUGCUCCAUGAUGAUAGAUCGUUCUUCCAAAAUAAAUUUGGCGAGUCAAACUUUGGUCAAUGCAUUGAAGCUAGUGGUGAUAGAGCAUCCAGAUCCAUAUAAGCUUGCAUGGCAGGGAAAAUAUGUGAUAAUAAAACAUCAAGUUGAGGUGCCUCUUGGAUUUUGUGGAUUUAGUGAUUCGGUUUAUGUGAUGUUCUUCCAUAUUAUAUGUAUGCGUGUAGCUUGAUACUUGGUCAGUCUUGGACAAAAAAGAAGGAGCUGCAGGUUGAUAAAUCCGGUACUUAUUCUUGGGGGAAAUUUAAGUUUGUUUUUCAAGGACAGUGGGCUUAAUUUGAAGCAUAUUCUUCAGAAGAAUAUUUGGAGGAUUGUAAGAGGCGAGACCAUGCACAGGCUGCAAUUGAUGUGAAGAAACUCCAAGAGAAGAUGAAGGAGUUUGAAGAAGACAAGCAAAGGAAGGUUGAGGCUGCUAAAUUACUAGCCUCCAAAAUUAAUAUUGAUGCAACUGUUCGGGAGGAGGACUCAAAACCGAGGACGGUUUUGUUUCAAGGGAGAGGGGAUGAUAUGACCAACUAUGUAUCUGUUAGUAUCGACAAUGAUGAAGUACAAGCCGUUGGUCAGGAUCAAGUCAAUGUUACUUCAUUAAUUAUUGUUAACUAGCAAAUAUGUCUGUGCGUUGCAACGGGAGAACAAAACAAAAAACAGUCAAGAACAAAACGUCAAGGAUCAAACUGCUGGCCCCUUGCUUUCUACUGGACAUGUCGUGGGCCGUCGGAUAAGAUGCAUGAUGGUCGGCGAGCCACAUAGAAGAGUUACAAUAUGUCCAUGGUAUCCGGGUGUAAAGCAACUAAGAGCUGCAUCUUUGCUGCAUCUUUUCAUGGUGUUCGGGUGCAGAACAACCUGAGUUAUCAACAUUGGUGGCCUCAUCGACUUGUUCCUCUCAAGAAUCGUUGUGGAGUAGUCAUUCCCGUUCAGAUUCUUCCUUCUCAGACACACUAUAUGUGAUCUUGAAUAAAUGUGCAGCCCGCCGGUUCAAAAUUAAUAGUAGGUCAUAUGAUGAUAAAAUAUUAAUGUAUCCUGUAGUUUCACAUUGAUUGUAUUUAAUUAAUAUUUUUACACAUGCAUAAAAAUUUAUAUUAUAUAUUUUUCUUACACAUGUAUAAACUCUGCAAUGGUAAAUUACAUUUGAUUGUACACAAAAUUUCAACUACUACAUCUCAGUAGGAACAUUUUACGUUACCAAAACAAAAAUAGGAUGAAAUCGUUCACACGAUGGGAAUACAUAAAUAUUGUAGGACAAUUUGUAUAGAGGCUGCAACAAUUAAUUCAGACCGGAGUGUUAAAUAUAUUGUUACGUGACAUGUUGUCACGCCUCUUUCCCUCUCUGUUUAGUCUAUCUUAUAGGCCAAGUUAUAUCCCUAGAUUAGAUAGAGUUAGUUGGAGUUAUUCUCUCUCUUUAACUUCCUAUCUUUUCUUCUGUUAUCGUUGAUUCUGUAAACACCUACGAGAGGGUUUUCUCUCGUACAAUCAAUAUAAGACCAUGCGGGCUCUCUUAGGAGGGUUGAGACGCUUUACCCAUCUUUGACAUGGUAUACAAAGCCUCCUCUUCCAUCACAUCUAGCUAAACCCUUCCCCCUCGCAGCCAUCACCUUCCCCCUGCGCCGCCAUGUCCUCCUCAUCGCAAGUUUCCUCCCCUGGCCUCAACUACACAACUUCCGAGCCACUCAAUCGCAGCAACUACAUCCUCUGGAAAGCCCAAGCUCGUUCCCAGAUUAUGGGAACAGGGCUAUAUGGGUACAUCGAUCAAUCAACUCCUGAACCACCCAAAACCAUCGUGACCAAAAACUCUGAAGGGAAAGAUCAGAUCGUCCCCAACCCCGCCUACAACCCCUGGCUUGUCCAGGAUCAGCAGAUCGUGGCCUAUCUUUUGCGGAAUCUCUCCAAGGAAGUUCUCAUCCAAGUAGCAUCCUUAGAACAGUCUCAUGCCAUCUGGUCUGCCCUAGCAAAGAUGUUCGCCGCUCAAUCCCGUUCCCGUGAGAACAACUGUCGCAUAGCUCUCUCCAACGCACAGAAAGGCACCCAGAACGCCUCCACCUAUUUCGGCCACAUGAGAGCCCUCUCCGAUGAGUUAGCUGCCGCUGGAAAGCCCAUCACCGACCAAGAACUUCUCUCCUUCAUCAUUGGGGGGCUGGAUAUGGACUAUCAGCCUCUCAUAUCGGCGCUGGAUGUGCGCGUGGAACCCCUGUCCGUGGAUGAUCUCUUCGUCAUGGUCGCUAACUUUGACUAAUGCGUUGAGAUGUUCCAAGGAACGGGGGCAGGAGCCUUCAAGUCAUCUGCAAAUCUUGCUGCUCGAGGCCGCGGCGGGUCUCCCCAAGGCUACCGCAAGGGUGGUGGUGGCGGGGGCUCUCGCGGCGGCGGCAGCUAUGGUGGUGGCGGCAGCAGCGGCGACGGGAACAACUACAACACCGGCAACAACCACUACAACAACAAUGGCAACACCGGUGGCGGCAGUGGUGGUGGCGGCGGCCACCACCAACGCAACAGCAACAACUACAACUCCAACAACACCAACCGGUGCCCCUUCUACAACAACAACAGGGGACGCCCGUUCCAAGGUUACGAUGAGUAUGAAAAUAAAUGUCAAAUUUGUAAAAGGAAUAAUCAUAUUGCCAAGGAUUGUGACUAUCGCUAUGCCGAGAACAAUUCCCAACGCAAGAAAGUUGCAGCAGCUGCAGACACCUCAUACGGAGUGGACACAAAUUGGUACGUCGACUCCGGCGCCACGAAUCAUAUCACCAUGCACGAGAAGUAUCAUGGCCAAGAUCAAGUCCACAAUGCAAACGGUGAAGGUAUGAAGAUAGAUCAUGUUGGUCAUGCAAUUGUCACUACCCCUUAUCGCAAUAUUCAUCUCAAAAAUAUUUUGCAUGUCCCACAAACUGAAAAAAUCUUCUUUCUGUUCACCGCAUUGCCAUAGACAACAAAGUUUUUCUUGAGUUUCACCCAUAUUUCUUUUUGAUUCGUGAUCAGGCCACGAGGAACAUUCUCUACCGCGGUAGAUGUGUGCAUGGGCUCUACCCUUUGAUUCCCCAGUUUAGAAGAUUCAAUAAACAAGUUUGUGGCGUUAUCAAACUUUCAUCAGAACGGUGGCAUGCGAGAUUAGGACACCCCUCUUUUGUUAUUGUUCAACAAGUGCUUAGAAAUAAUCAGCUCCCAUGUGUUGGUGAGCGUAGUCUUGAAACUAUUUGUGAUUCUUGUCAAAAGGCGAAAGCCCAUCAGUUACCAUAUCCAGUUUCUACUAGUAUUUCUACCAAACCUUUACAACUUGUUUUCUCUGAUGUUUGGGGUCCAGCCCCCUCUUCUGUUGGUAGACAUACUUAUUAUGUUAGUUUCAUAGAUGACUACAGUAAAUUCACUUGGAUUUAUCUUCUUAAGAAACGUUCCGACGUUUUCCAAGUUUUCCAUAACUUUCAAGCACUUGUUGAAUGACAAUUUGACACCAAAAUUCUCGCCGUCCAAUCUGAUUGGGGUGGCGAGUAUGAGAAGCUAAACUCCUUUUUUCAAAAGUUGGGCGUGUCUCAUCAUGUUUCAUGCCCUCAUGCGCACCAGCAAAACGGCUCUGCCGAACGCAAGCAUAGGCACAUUGUUGAAGUAGGGCUUGCCCUUCUUGCAGGUGCUUCCAUGCCUCUUAAAUUUUGGGACGAGGCAUUCCUUACGGCAGUCCAUCUUAUUAAUAUGCUUCCCAGUCGUGUCAUUAACAAUGAAACACCCAUGCAAUGCCUUCUUCAUACUCGACCGAACUAUCAUUCACUUCGUGUUUUUGGUUGUGCCUGCUGGCCUAAUCUUCGUCCGUAUAAUACUCGCAAACUCAGUUUCCACUCAAAACAAUGUGUUUUUCUGGGGUAUAGUGCCCAACACAAAGGCGUUAAAUGCCUUGAUGUUCCUACCGGUCGAGUAUAUAUCUCUCGUGAUGUUGUUUUCGAUGAGACUGUUUUUCCUUUCGCAACUCUCCAUCCUAAUGCUGGUGCUCUUCUUCGCCAAGAAAUCCUUCUCCUUCCACCACAUCUAUCUGGCAUAUCUCCUGGGGAUGACAAUUGUAAUGACUACGUGACUAACUCUUUUGACCGUGUUCUUGAGGUUUCUGAUGAUGCAGGAUCCAGUGGUGAAACUCCACAAGAAAAUUUGAUGCAAAACAAUGGAGAAAAUGGCUCAAACAUCUGUCAUUUCAUGUGUCCUCCGCUUGGGGACAGCGCUGCAACCGAGUCCCCCUCGGGAUCGGUGGCGACAGUGCAGCCGCUAUCACCUUCGGGAUCGCAGCCGCGCCUGGCGCGCCGCGCCACCGAAUCUUCACCAGGCGACGCGGGUGGCCCCUCCUUGCUCGACACGUCUCCACCUGGGGGGUCGCUGUCGCGGACCCAGCCGACGCGGUUUGGCCUGACCCCGCGGGUCUACGCCAGACGCGAGACGACAGGGGCCCAUCCGGAGCAGGCGGCUAGAUCUUCUGCGCCGCUCCCAGCUACCUCGUCUCCCGAUCUGGCCGCAGAAGAUCCGGCGUCACCAGCGGGGACUGCAUCAGCCUCGGGUUCCCCUGGAUUCUCUGUCCAGGAGCAGCAGCUUGUGGGAUCUUCUGCGGACGUGUCUGGGUCUCCUGUUUCCGUACCCCCACGAGUUACAAGGCUUCAGGCUGGGGUAAUUCAACCUGUCAAUUAUAAAGUUAAAUAUGGUUUGACCGGCUCUACCGGAGAACCCAACACGUUUCAGGAAGCAAGCACGGAUAUCAAGUGGAGGAAGGCUAUGGAGGAAGAGUUUCAACCUCUUCAGAAAAAUAAAACGUGGCAUCUUGUUCCUUCACAGUGAGGCAAAAAUUUAAUUGAUUGCAAAUGGGUGUUCCGGAUAAAGAAAAAGGCAGAUGGCACCAUCGAUCGUUACAAGGCUAGACUCGUUGCAAAAGGAUUCAAACAGAGGUAUGGCAUCGAUUAUGAAGAUACUUUUAGCCCUGUUGUUAAAGCUGCCAGUAUACGUCUUGUUCUGUCUAUUGCCGUAUCUAGAGGAUGGAGUCUCAGGCAGCUAGAUGUACAGAACGCGUUCCUCCAUGGUGUUCUGGAAGAGGAAGUAUAUAUGAAACAACCUCCUGGGUUUAAAGACAGAAACAAGCCUUUUCAUGUUUGCAGGCUAGAUAAGUCUCUUUAUGGCUUGAAGCAAGCACCUAGAGCAUGGUACUCGCGGUUGAGUUCUAAGUUACAAACACUGGGCUUUGUUCCCUCCAAAUCUGAUACGUCAUUGUUCAUAUACAAUAAGUUCAAAACAUCUAUAUUUGUGCUUAUUUAUGUUGAUGAUAUUAUUGUCACAAGUUCAUCAAAUGAAGCAGUCACUGCCUUGUUGAAGGAUCUGAAUUCAGAAUUUGCUCUUAAGGAUCUAGGUGACUUGCAUUUCUUCCUUGGUAUUGAGGUUAAGAGAAACAGUGAAGGUGGUCUUCAUCUUUCUCAAGAAAAAUAUGCAACUGAUCUUUUGAAUAGAGUUGGCUUGCAGGGUUGUAAACCAUCACCCACACCAUUGUCUAGUUCAGAAAAACUCUCUCUUGCAGCGGGACAACCCUUGAGUCAAGAGGAUGGCACCAAGUACAGAAGCUUGGUAGGUGCGCUUCAGUAUUUGACACUCACCAGGCCUGACAUUUCCUUUGCUGUCAAUAAGGUUUGUCAGUUUCUUCAUGCACCUACUACAAAUCAUUGGACUGCUACCAAACGCAUACUGAGAUAUGUAAAAUACACCUUGGGUGUUGGCCUAACCUUCAGCAAGUCGUCAUCCACACUUGUCAGUGCUUUCUCUGACUCUGACUGGGCAGGUUGUUUGGAUGACAGGAGAUCAACAGGUGGUUUUGCAAUCUUCUUUGGACCUAAUUUGAUUUCAUGGUGUGAAAAGAAACAGGCUACAGUUUCAAGGUCUAGUACUGAAGCAGAAUACAAGGCAUUGGCAAAUGCCACAGCAGAGAUCAUCUGGGUCAAAUCUAUGCUUAGGGAGCUUGGGAUAUAUCACACACCAACUCCCUGUCUUUGGUGUGAUAAUCUUGGUGCCACUUAUUUGUCUGCUAAUUCUGUCUUUCAUGCAAGGACUAAACAUAUUGAGAUUGAUUAUCACUUUGUUCGAGAAAGGGUUGCAAGCAAAGAAUUGGAUAUUCGAUUUGUUCAUUCAAAGGAUCAAGUUGCUGAUGAAUUCACCAAAGCUUUGGCCACAAGACCGUUUAAAGAAUUUCGACGUAAUCUUAACUUGCGCAGUUUAGAUUAAGGGAGGGUGUUAAAUAUAUUGUUACGUGACAUGUUGUCACGCCUCUUUCCCUCUCUGUUUAGUCUAUCUUGUAGGCCAAGUUAUAUCCCUAGAUUAGAUAGAGUUAGUUGGAGUUAUUCUCUCUCUUUAACUUCCUAUCUUUUCUUCUGUUAUCGUUGAUUCUGUAAACACCUACAAGAGGGUUUUUUCUCGUACAAUCAAUAUAAGACCAUGCGGGCUCUCUUAGGAGGGUUGAGACGCUUUACCCAUCUUUGACAUGGAGGGCAUUUUUUCUGGUGGAGCUCAUUCUCACGUAUAAAAUCCCUUCAAGAUAGAGUCCGGAGCUGUACAUAUUAGUAUCAUCUAGCUCGUGUAGGAAGACUGAACUUACUACCGGUCAGACCGAGUCUUUUCUUUUACAACGCACACUCGUACAUAUUGGUUCUCUCUCACGUACAAAGGUUUCAUACGAAUGAAAAUUCGCGCUUACUACAAAGAACAUCAGCACACCGGAGAGCCUCGGUCAUUGGCAUAACAACAAAGUUAAGCAUAACAACAAAGUUAACUACAAAUUAACUCACUGUAAAUUUUAGCAUUAAAGAACCAUGAUGUAAAGUGCAAUAUCAUGCUGCGGAAUGUUACUAACUGCUUAUGAUUUUCAAAAUAGGUAGUAUAUGCAUGUGUGUCAAUGUUUAUCACGACAACAGAAGGAAAGAAUCAAAAUUCUAAAAAUCAGAACUGGAAAACACCAUGUGUAAUUAUUUGUUAUAUUCACAGCAUUCAUUGUUUGCUCAUUAUUAAAUAUAAGCUAAUCUGACUAAAUGUUUGAUCCGCUAUCCCCAAUAAUUAUUUGUUAUAUUAUAUUCACAACAUGUAUUGUUUGCUCAUCAUCAAAUAUAAGCCAAAUCCGGCCAAAUGUGUUGAUCUGGUACGAAAAAUUUCAAUGAUCCAGAUUUGUAAUGUUACAGAACUAUCAAAAACAACAUCGUAGUUCUAAAUUUGUAGCAGUGCUUUACUUCUAGCACCUAAAAUCAACUGUGCCUAUUAAUCAACCAUGACAAAGUUUAUGUCGUAAACAACAUUAUCAAUCAUGGUGCUUGUGAAUCAUGAAUAUUGCCAAAACUGUAGUUCCCUUCCUCCCCAGAAAUUAACAAAAAACAAAACAAUACAACACCUACUUCUCACUCAUAUUUCCAAAUGACUUUCAUAAGGCACGGAGAGCUGUUCCGAUGAGAAAACAGAUAAAAAGCUUCUAUAAUCCUGGGAGAUCAGCGAAACAUGUGAAACAUUAAAGUAACAGUGAAUGACAGACCGAAAUGCAAAAGAAUGAAUUAGAAUGACAAUUUACAGUCCCUAGCAACUGCAACAAACUGUAGUUCUACAAGUGCGUACAUCUAUCUUCUUAUACUGAUACUGAAGCCAAGAAUCAAAACAACACUAUGAGGUCUAUCUAAACUGACACCAUACAUGUUAGCAAAGCCAUGACUGCAUGUGAAAGCAUAUAUUUAUACUUUUUAAUUAGCAGCAAGUAUAUACUACAUACUGGAAUAAUUUCGGGCAUUUAAUUGAAGAAUCAUAAAUUGAAUUGUUACCAGAAAAAGUAUUGCCUAUGUUGAUCUUUAAAGCUUUUCUUUUUUGCUGUGGUCAUGUUCUAUAAACUUCAAAUAUUAUGCAUAAUUUGUAUUCUAUCUCAAACAAAACUGAACAAUAGGUCUAUACCUCAUUCUUAUGACAUACCUGACUGCCAUACAAAAUAAUAGGCUACAUCAAAUUUUGUGACAGAAGCUAAAAAGUAGAAAUCUUACAUCUUUUUCAAAGCUCUGGUGUUUGUUGGCUUGGAGCUCCUGAACCUGCUUUUCGCGUACAGUGCAGGUGAAAUCUUAGCCUGUUGUUAUAGUCAAAGUACGAUCUCCACUGAAAUCCUCCCCUUGGGCCGCCAUCUCCAAACCUUCAUGUGUCAGAGGAAAACAUAAUAAAACAUGCCAAACGGAUUGAGAAAAGUGACAUAAUAAGUAGUAUCUAUUUUUAGUUGCAGUAGAAACAUCAAGGCUAGGAUUAACUAUUUUUUCGUUGUGCACUACAUCUGCUGCUGCACACAAAAAUGAUCAUUGCAUUCUUCCAAAUCCAGAAUGUCCAGUCUUUGCCAAUCUAGCUCAUUAUAAUCAUCAUAUAGGGAAGCUCAACAUUGAGAAAAGAAAAAAGAUAAAUAGACAAAGAAGAUAUUAUUGCCAUAUUUUUGCUAGAAGAUAACUCAGCCUAUAUGACUAUAUCGAUUUAGACAAAGAUAUUUACCCAAGAUCCUUCUCUCUAAUUAUCAAAAAUCAUGCUUGGAGUCAAAACCAAGCAAACUUGCAUCUUGAUCAGCCUACACUUUAUACUUACAACAGCAACCGUAUACUGCACAAAUUAUCAACAAUACAAACUGAAAGACAUGCAGUUCUUGUUUGAGAACUGCCUACACGCAUAUCAUCCACUUUAUACUUACAACACCGGCUGUACACUGCACAUUAUCGUGCAGUUAUUGUUUGAGAACCUCUUGUUUGAGACCCGAAGAGAGUUGUGAUAUGUAAUAUAUAGCAAAAAUUUGCAACGUGGAAGAUCAGAACACAGAAUUCAAAUUAAUUUGGUGAAUGAAUGAUACUUACACAAUCUGAAUCUGAUGCUGCCGAUGCAGGCCGUGCUCACUGCUGUAGAAGGUGUAUAUAAAAGUUCAGUACCCUGUUCCUCCUUUCCAAAUCUACCAGACUGCUUAAUUUACAAACAAAGAAACUUGUGCUGCUUGCCAUGGGAGAGAUGGUGGCGGGGAAAACACAACCUUAGAAAACAUGAUGCUUGUAUAACCCCAGAAACGUCAAUGAUUUGACAUGAGUGUCACAGGCGGCCAAGCAAAUAUGCUACUUAUCAACACACGCAUGCACGCACAGUACAUGUUAUCUAUCAAAGUAACAACAAAUCAGAGACAAAUGCCUCAUGUUGUCCCCACGGUUCAAUGGAAUGGAUUGUAUCUAAUCAGGACAUCCAAUCAGUGGUGUCAUCAUCACAAUGAACCCACGAACAUGUACAACAAGGGAGCAGGUACCUUUCUCUGCUUGGAGCUCCUUGUGCGGGUCAUUGGAGCUCCUUGUGCGGGUCAUGUCGUGGAUGCCCUCCAUGGAAGGAACGAACUGCUGCUGCUGCUCCAGACCGAAUCAAAUCAAUGUGGUGCAAUGUAGACCCUGCAAUCCAUCCAUAUACAGAACCAUGGCGUCAGCACUCACCAGGGUCGGACCUUGACGAGCAGCUCCAUGGCAUGGGUCUCCUUGACGAGCAGGUCCGGUCCUGCCGCGGAUCGUGCCGCCACCAUGUAUCUCCCUCUCCUCUCCUCUCGGGAUUCAAGCGGUCGUCGAGGGAGAAGAGAAGGGGCGAAGGGGACUACAAGGACUUCGCGCCACCGCGCCCGAUCCUUCCGUCUCCCGCACCCGUCCGCCAUCACCGGCUCCGGCAAGUUCUUGCCUGGGACACCACACCGCCCCUCUUUUCUCCCUUCUUCUCUCCCUCACCACAUUGUUUCUUUUCUGCCAUGGAUCCGCCCAGGAAGCCGCGCUCCGGCCUUCCUCGUCGUCACCGGCGACCCCCGCCUCUCCGCCGGCCUUCGGAUCCGCCACCCCAGCCCCUGCCGUCCACGGAUCCGCCCCCUCAAGCUCCAGCCGCUCGAGCCGCCGCGUUGACCCGAUCCGAUCCAGAAGGUGCGCUCGAGUGUCCUCCAGCCGUUCCACGUAAAGAAGACCGCGGGUUGAAUAUACAAACUACAGGGUCUUUUUUGUAAAAACGAAACGUUUUCUCAAAUUAGCCACUUAAAAAGGGACUGCGGGUCGAGUAAGGAAAACCACAGGGGCUUUUUGAAAAAACUUAUAUAUAUAUAUAUAUAUAUAGGGAAAAGCAAACCUAUGCAACAAUUUUGUGGAGGUAGCAAUCAUAGCCACAUGUUGAGCUUGGGAUCUGGUCCAAACAUUUGCCAUCUUUGAAUUUCUCACAUUUGGAAUGAAUACAUUUUAUUUCCUGUUAUAGGUGUUUGUGGACCAUGCGUGCACGUGCCUAUGCACUAGGCCCAUCCCAUAGCCUGAUACCCCUGUGGCACGCCAGUCAUGGGCCCGUGGAGAUACGGUUCCAAGCCCAGGAAAGGUCCACAACUGCGCACGGUGCCCAGCCGAUAAAAGGUUCGUGCAACUUUUUUUAGCCUUGUUUUUUUUUUGCCUUAUUCGUUCAACAGCCAUCCCCAUACCCGUGCGAGCAGGAGAGCACCACGCGGGCUGUGCUCCUCCUCUCGUACUCCGGCAGAUCUGUCCGCCAAGCAGGCCAUCCUCCUCCUCCCCUGUGGCAGCUCCCCUCUCCGGCCAUCCUCCUCCUCCUCCCCUACUGUCACUUCUCUGCCCGUGGCCGCCAUGGCCUUACCCGAGCCGUCCGCCGCCAUUCCUGCUCCUCUUCCCGGCGUCCCUCCGUGCUCUCACGUCCCACCUCCACUGCCUGCGGGAAGCAAUUCCUUAGGUCUUUAUCGGUCCUUGUUAUUUUUUUGCAAACUUUCCUAACCCUUGUUAUAUGUUGUUGCAGAUCUUGCUGAAAAUUGGAUCCCUGUAGGCCGAUGUAAGGUAAGAGCAUGGUAAUUAGUGACAUGGUAUGAGCAUGUAGAAUUGAUGUUUUCUGUUGGCUAUGUGUAUUGAAUAUUGAUGCAUGCAUUGCUUAGUUGCUUAAGUGACAUAAUGGAUUUAUUGUGUUUUUGGUUGUGUCGUUCUCGGCAAAGAAACUAUGGAAUCUUUCAAAUGGGCAUUCAAACCAUGGUUGUGGCCUUCUUUUUUCCUGUGUUGUGCGUUCGCAUGUCGUGUAUGGUUGGCCGUGUGUAUGUGGGUGUUGUGGGUGUCUGCUCCGGCCGGUGUGCUUGCUGACUGUGUGGUGUGUGUGCUGAAAUUGUGAUGCCAGUUCUUCAU